CCUACGGGUGGCAGCAGUGAGGAAUAUUGGUCAAUGGGCGGAAGCCUGAACCAGCCAAGUAGCGUGCAGGAUGACGGCCCUACGGGUUGUAAACUGCUUUUAUAUGGGAAUAAAAUGUUCCACGUGUGGGAUUUUGUAUGUACCAUAUGAAUAAGGAUCGGCUAACUCCGUGCCAGCAGCCGCGGUAAUACGGAGGAUCCGAGCGUUAUCCGGAUUUAUUGGGUUUAAAGGGAGCGUAGGUGGAUUGUUAAGUCAGUUGUGAAAGUUUGCGGCUCAACCGUAAAAUUGCAGUUGAAACUGGCAGUCUUGAGUACAGUAGAGGUGGGCGGAAUUCGUGGUGUAGCGGUGAAAUGCUUAGAUAUCACGAAGAACUCCGAUUGCGAAGGCAGCUCACUGGACUGCAACUGACACUGAGGCUCGAAAGUGUGGGUAUCAAACAGGAUUAGAUACCCGAGUAGUC
RNAcentral lists this ribosomal RNA (460 nucleotides) under uncultured bacterium. RNAcentral's name for it is "partial 16S ribosomal RNA". It matches the Rfam family "Bacterial small subunit ribosomal RNA", at positions 338 to 795 of the family's 1533-position model. The record is from RNAcentral.